This 209-nucleotide long non-coding RNA is filed under the name Salvia miltiorrhiza (redroot sage). Its description in RNAcentral is "long non-coding RNA (SMIL_LNC010266)". Lineage: Eukaryota; Viridiplantae; Streptophyta; Magnoliopsida; Lamiales; Lamiaceae. The record is from RNAcentral.
UAGGGAGAGUGCCAUAUAGGAUUAGAGCAUCAGCAUUUGAGUUAUAUGAUAGCCUACAUGAUUUUUUUUUAUUUUGAUUUUUACGCUUUUCAUUUAAAUUUAAUUGUUCAAAUUUAAAUAACACAUUUUACUAAUAAAAAUAAUUAAAUUUUCAUUGAAGGAAAAAAGUGAGGAAGAAGAAGAAGAAAAAGAGUAGAUAAAGAGGAGAA